Molecule: ribosomal RNA, 1544 nt
Filed under: Serratia marcescens FGI94
Lineage: Bacteria; Pseudomonadati; Pseudomonadota; Gammaproteobacteria; Enterobacterales; Yersiniaceae
Description: 16S ribosomal RNA
Rfam family: Bacterial small subunit ribosomal RNA
Source: RNAcentral
UUUAAUUGAAGAGUUUGAUCAUGGCUCAGAUUGAACGCUGGCGGCAGGCCUAACACAUGCAAGUCGAGCGGCAGCGGGAGGAAGCUUGCUUCCUCGCCGGCGAGCGGCGGACGGGUGAGUAAUGUCUGGGGAUCUGCCCGAUGGAGGGGGAUAACCACUGGAAACGGUGGCUAAUACCGCAUAACGUCGCAAGACCAAAGUGGGGGACCUUCGGGCCUCACACCAUCGGAUGAACCCAGAUGGGAUUAGCUAGUAGGUGGGGUAAUGGCUCACCUAGGCGACGAUCCCUAGCUGGUCUGAGAGGAUGACCAGCCACACUGGAACUGAGACACGGUCCAGACUCCUACGGGAGGCAGCAGUGGGGAAUAUUGCACAAUGGGCGCAAGCCUGAUGCAGCCAUGCCGCGUGUGUGAAGAAGGCCUUCGGGUUGUAAAGCACUUUCAGCGAGGAGGAAGGUGGUGAGCUUAAUACGUUCAUCAAUUGACGUUACUCGCAGAAGAAGCACCGGCUAACUCCGUGCCAGCAGCCGCGGUAAUACGGAGGGUGCAAGCGUUAAUCGGAAUUACUGGGCGUAAAGCGCACGCAGGCGGUUUGUUAAGUCAGAUGUGAAAUCCCCGAGCUUAACUUGGGAACUGCAUUUGAAACUGGCAAGCUAGAGUCUCGUAGAGGGGGGUAGAAUUCCAGGUGUAGCGGUGAAAUGCGUAGAGAUCUGGAGGAAUACCGGUGGCGAAGGCGGCCCCCUGGACGAAGACUGACGCUCAGGUGCGAAAGCGUGGGGAGCAAACAGGAUUAGAUACCCUGGUAGUCCACGCCGUAAACGAUGUCGAUUUGGAGGUUGUGCCCUUGAGGCGUGGCUUCCGGAGCUAACGCGUUAAAUCGACCGCCUGGGGAGUACGGCCGCAAGGUUAAAACUCAAAUGAAUUGACGGGGGCCCGCACAAGCGGUGGAGCAUGUGGUUUAAUUCGAUGCAACGCGAAGAACCUUACCUACUCUUGACAUCCAGAGAACUUUCCAGAGAUGGAUUGGUGCCUUCGGGAACUCUGAGACAGGUGCUGCAUGGCUGUCGUCAGCUCGUGUUGUGAAAUGUUGGGUUAAGUCCCGCAACGAGCGCAACCCUUAUCCUUUGUUGCCAGCGGUUAGGCCGGGAACUCAAAGGAGACUGCCAGUGAUAAACUGGAGGAAGGUGGGGAUGACGUCAAGUCAUCAUGGCCCUUACGAGUAGGGCUACACACGUGCUACAAUGGCGUAUACAAAGAGAAGCGAACCUGCGAAGGCAAGCGGACCUCAUAAAGUACGUCGUAGUCCGGAUUGGAGUCUGCAACUCGACUCCAUGAAGUCGGAAUCGCUAGUAAUCGUAGAUCAGAAUGCUACGGUGAAUACGUUCCCGGGCCUUGUACACACCGCCCGUCACACCAUGGGAGUGGGUUGCAAAAGAAGUAGGUAGCUUAACCUUCGGGAGGGCGCUUACCACUUUGUGAUUCAUGACUGGGGUGAAGUCGUAACAAGGUAACCGUAGGGGAACCUGCGGUUGGAUCACCUCCUUA